RNAcentral lists this ribosomal RNA (1485 nucleotides) under uncultured Bordetella sp. RNAcentral's name for it is "partial 16S-23S ribosomal RNA intergenic spacer". It matches the Rfam family "Bacterial small subunit ribosomal RNA". The record is from RNAcentral. Lineage: Bacteria; Pseudomonadati; Pseudomonadota; Betaproteobacteria; Burkholderiales; Alcaligenaceae.
GGUCUGAUCCUGGCUCAGAUUGAACGCUGGCGGGAUGCUUACAUGCAAGUCGAACGGCAGCACGGACUUCGGUCUGGUGGCGAGUGGCGAACGGGUGAGUAGUCGUAUCGGAACGUGCCUAGUAGCGGGGAUAACUACGCGAAAGCGUAGCCAGUACUGCAUACGGCUCCUUCGGGGGAAAGCGGGGACCUUUCUGGCCUCGCACUAUUAGAGCGGCCGAUAUCGGAUUAGCCAGUUGGUGGGGUAACGGCUCACCAAGGCGACGAUCCGUAGCUGGUUUGAGAGGACGACCAGCCACACUGGGACUGAGUAGACACGGCCCAGACUCCUACGGAGGCAGCAGUGGGGAAUUUUGGACAAUGGGGGAAACCCUGAUCCAGCCAUCCCGCGUGUGCGAGCGAAGGCCUUCGGGUUGUAAAGCACUUUGCAGGAAAGAAACGGCGACGUGGGAUAAUACCCCGUGCAACUGACGGUACCUGCAGAAUAAGCACCGGCUAACUACGUGCCAGCAGCCAUGGUGAAUAUGUAGAAAAAAAGCGUUAAUCGGAAUUACUGGGCGUAAAGCGUGCGCAGGCGGUUCGGAAAGAAAGAUGCAACCGCGAUGUAACUUUGGAACUGUAUUUUUAACUACUGAGCUAGAGUGUGUCAGGGAGGGGAGGUGGAAUCUUCGCGCGGUAGCAGUGAAAUGCGUAGGAGCAGCGUGAGGAAUACCGAUGGCGGGCGCAGCUUCCUGGGAUACGAUUGACGCUCAUGCACGAAAGCGUGGGGAGCAAACAGGAUUAGAUACCCUGGUAGUCCACGCCCUAAACGAUGUCAACUAGCUGUUGGGGCCUGGCCUCGGUAGCGCAGCUAACGGGUGAAGUUGACCGCCCGGGGAGUACGGUCGCAAGAUUAAAACUCAAAGAAUUGCUGAUGGGACCUACAAGGUGGAUGAUGUGGAUUAAUUAGAUGCAACGCGAAAACCUUACCUACCCUUGACAUGUCUGAAUCCCGAAGAGAUUUGGGAGUGCUCGCAAGAGAACCGGAACACAGGUGCUGCAUGGCUGUCGUCAGCUCGUGUCGUGAGAUGUUGGGUUAAGUCCCGCAACGAGCGGCAACCCUUGUCAUUAGUUGCUACGAAAGGGCACUCUAAUGAGACUGCCGGUGAGCAAACUGAGGAAGGUGGGGAUGGAUACCGGAGUCUCAUGGCUCUUAUGGGUAGGGCUUCACACGUCAUACAAUGAGCCGACAGAGGGUCGCCAACCCGCGCAGGGAGCCAGCAAUCCCAGAAACCCGAUCAGUCCGGAUCGCAGUCUGCAACCCUGACUGCGUGAAGUCGGAAUCGCUAGUAAUCGCGGAUCAGCAUGUCGCGGUGAAUACGUUCCCGGGUCUUGUACACACCGCCCGUCACACCAUGGGAGUGGGUUUUACCAGAAGUAGUUAGCCUAACCGUAAGGAGGGCGAUUACUACGGUAGGACUAUGAUCAGUAGUCGUACUGAAGGUAG